UACGGAGGGGGCUAGCGUUGUUCGGAAUUACUGGGCGUAAAGCGCGCGUAGGCGGUCUAUUUAGUUAGGGGUGAAAGGCCUGGGCUCAACCUAGGAACUGCCUUUAAUACUGAUAGACUAGAGUCCGGGAGAGGGUAGCGGAAUUCCAAGUGUAGAGGUGAAAUUCGUAGAUAUUUGGAAGAACACCAGUGGCGAAGGCGGCUACCUGGACCGGCACUGACGCUGAGGUGCGAAAGCGUGGGGAGCGAAC
This 250-nucleotide ribosomal RNA is filed under the name uncultured bacterium. RNAcentral describes it as "partial 16S ribosomal RNA". It matches the Rfam family "Bacterial small subunit ribosomal RNA", at positions 524 to 773 of the family's 1533-position model. The record is from RNAcentral.